UCUCGAUUGGUCUAGUGGUAAGGAUACCUGCUUGUCACUUAAUGGUCUCGAAUCCGCGGUCGUGGGUCAGAGUUCAUGAAAUAGUAAAUCGCAGGUGGCCGGGGUUCGAUUCCCCGAUCGAGAG
Xylaria sp. FL1777 is the source of this 124-nucleotide non-coding RNA. The record is from the annotation of a GenBank genome assembly. Lineage: Eukaryota; Fungi; Ascomycota; Sordariomycetes; Xylariales; Xylariaceae.